CCUACGGGUGGCAGCAGUGGGGAGUAUUGCACAAUGGGCGCAAGCCUGAUGCAGCCAUGCCGCGUGUGUGAAGAAGGCCUUCGGGUUGUAAAGCACUUUCAGCGGGGAGGAAGACGGUGAGGUUAAUAACCUCAUCGAUUGACGUUACCCGCAGAAGAAGCACCGGCUAACUCCGUGCCAGCAGCCGCGGUAAUACGGAGGGUGCAAGCGUUAAUCGGAAUUACUGGGCGUAAAGCGCACGCAGGCGGUCUGUCAAGUCGGAUGUGAAAUCCCCGGGCUCAACCUGGGAACUGCAUUCGAAACUGGCAGGCUAGAGUCUUGUAGAGGGGGGUAGAAUUCCAGGUGUAGCGGUGAAAUGCGUAGAGAUCUGGAGGAAUACCGGUGGCGAAGGCGGCCCCCUGGACAAAGACUGACGCUCAGGUGCGAAAGCGUGGGGAGCAAACAGGAUUAGAUACCCUUGUAGUC
Molecule: ribosomal RNA, 465 nt
Filed under: uncultured Klebsiella sp.
Lineage: Bacteria; Pseudomonadati; Pseudomonadota; Gammaproteobacteria; Enterobacterales; Enterobacteriaceae
Description: bacterial SSU rRNA
Rfam family: Bacterial small subunit ribosomal RNA
Source: RNAcentral